This 203-nucleotide non-coding RNA is filed under the name uncultured Phascolarctobacterium sp. RNAcentral describes it as "raiA RNA". It matches the Rfam family "raiA RNA". Lineage: Bacteria; Bacillati; Bacillota; Negativicutes; Acidaminococcales; Acidaminococcaceae. The record is from RNAcentral.
CUCAGGUCUGUGGUUGCAAGUCGAUGCCAGUUGCAGGCCAAACGAUCCACGUAAGCAGCUAAAAUUGGCUGUGAGCACGGUGCAGCUUAGAAGUAAGUCCUGCCGCAAAAAAAUUCACGCGAGAGGGGUAGUAGUGGGGAGCAGAAGCUUAGGAGCGAACCCUCCAGCAGGCGAGUGUGGGGGCGAAAACCAGGUCAGCUGAG